GCAAAUUCGGGCUGAUGCUGGCUUCUCGACUGUGCCCGCUGUUCGGCAUGGACGUCUGGGCACAAGCUGUCUAUUAUGCCAACUUCAACGCUCCUAUGAAUGGUCCUCAAUGACAUUAUGAAAGUCGAUGUAGGACAUAAACGGCCAUACCAUCGAACACUUCACGAUGAAAUGCUUCACAUGCAGCGCCUGCCUGUCCACCCUUGUCUCUUCAUCAGGCUCACUCUCAGUGCCCUCCUUUCUCUCUACCUAGAAGUCUAUUAUUCUGCUCAUCUGUCUGUCUGAAUUUCACCAUCCGCAUUUGUCUGUCCAACUGUCUGUUGCAUAUCUGUGCGCUUAUCUGCUUCAUUGUCUGUCCACGUUUCUCUUUCUGCCUCUCUCUGUAUGUCCUUGUGACAGCGCUUCAAUGUGUCCCUCUGAGGUCUUUAGUCUGUUCCUGACUGCGUAUGUCCCUUCAUCUGCCUCCGGCUGUCUGUCCUUCGGUCUACAUUUAUAAACAUGUCUGUCUCUGCACUUAUGUUCGCGCCCAUCUCUGUCUGUCAUCGUUUGUCUGCGCAUCCAUCUUCUUCAAUUUUCGUUAUAUAUCAGCCUAGUCUUUUCGAACAUCUGUCGACACUCCCGUACGUACAAUUUUCUUUCCGUCCAUCCGUGUGUGUGUCUGUCCUUUCAUCUGUCCUGUCUUGUUUUCUGCCCGUUAGUGCGUCUCUUCUUAGGUGGCCUUUCUGCAUAUCUAUACAUCUGUCUGUGUCUCUGAAUGUCUGUUCCUCUCUUCAUGCAAUCUUUUCACGACCCGUCUGUGUGUCUGCACGUUUAUCCUGCCCGUCAACUAGUCUCUCCGUACGUGGGUUUUUUUUGUGUAUAUAUCAGUCUGUUCAUUUGUCUGUAAAUCUAUAUGCGUCUAUAACCAUCUGUUCGUCCAUUCUUUUGGCUGUCUGUAUGCAUCUGUGUCCUUAGCUUAUCCGUCAAUCUGUCUCUCUACACGUGGGUUUCCAGUCUACCUGUCGAUACAGCCUUUUGUCUGUUUCUACGUAUAUCUCUCUCUUGCUCCUUUCUAGUUACCAUCCGUCUGUCUGCAUCUGUUCCUCUAUCUUUCUAUUUUUGCGUCUAUGUUUCUCUAUCCAUUCGUUCAACCAUCUUUGCAUCCAUUCACCACUCUGUCUGACUGUCAGUAUUAUCGAUGCGAAGCUCCUUACGUCGUCGGUCGGCCCCCUUCUCUGUAGUAGUAGUAUGAAACCACCUCAUGUUUGAGCUGCACAAUAGAUGGCAUUGUAUAUGCCGUUUAAAAUAAUUUAACUAGAUG
Molecule: long non-coding RNA, 1300 nt
Organism: Rhipicephalus microplus (southern cattle tick)
Lineage: Eukaryota; Metazoa; Arthropoda; Arachnida; Ixodida; Ixodidae
Source: RefSeq, a predicted model, not a curated record